GUCUACGACCAUUCUACCCUGAACAAGCUCGAUCCUGUCUAUCUCAGAAGCUAAGCAGGGUCGGGCCUGGUUAGUACUUGGAUGGGAGACCACCUAGGAAGACCAGGUGCUGUAAGUG
This 118-nucleotide ribosomal RNA is filed under the name Pteropus alecto (black flying fox). The record is from RNAcentral. Lineage: Eukaryota; Metazoa; Chordata; Mammalia; Chiroptera; Pteropodidae.